Non-coding RNA from Arachis ipaensis, 656 nucleotides. Lineage: Eukaryota; Viridiplantae; Streptophyta; Magnoliopsida; Fabales; Fabaceae. The record is from RefSeq and is a predicted model, not a curated record.
GGGAGAACAACUGGAGACUAAUAAGCAGCAACCAUAGCAAUUAUGCCCUUGAUCAGGAUCCCUUUAAUCCACCAGCAGUUGUGUUGAAGACUGCAGCCACAUCAAUAAAUGCUACUGCCUCAUUAGAUUUCCAUUGGGACAUUGAUGACAAUGAAACUCAGCACCAAUACUAUUUCUAUCUACACUUCACAGAGCUUCAGCAUUUGGGUGCAGAUCAAACAAGAUCAUUCAAUAUCAACAUGGAUGGUAAGACUUGGAAUACAGCUGAAUCACUCAAAUACGGCAAAGUAUACACCAAACAUGUUAGAGGACUUUCCUCUGGAUGCAAAAAGUGUCACAUUUCACUUAUUCGGACAGAAUCUUCUACCCUUCCACCCAUUAUCAGUGCUCUUGAGAUUUAUUUAGCAAAAAAUUUUUCAUCACAGUCAGAAAUCGACAAAGACGACGCGGAUGCAGUCACAAACAUCAAGAAGGCUUAUAGGGUGGACAGUAGAAACUGGCAAGGAGAUCCAUGUCUUCCCAGAUGCAUACAAAUGGCAAGGUGUAGACUGUAGCACUAUUGAUGGCUUUCUAAGAAUCACAUCCUUGAAUUUGUCUUCAAGUGGACUCACCGGACAUAUACGGACUGAUAUCUCCAAGCUUACUAUGUUAAAGUC